GGGGCAACGGCCACCACUCUCUGGAACGCUUGUGCUGGACAUGUGCACUUUUGACCUUAGUAGAAUAAUUGCUAUGUUUGCAGAGGGGAGAUGACAGCAAAGACACCAGGGUGUUGUCGAGAGCGAAGGAACAUGGCAGGCAGAUGAUCCAGGGCAGGAGAGAAGAGACUAGGUCCGUGUCCAGGCGAGGGUCGAGGAAGGCAGUCCAAAACACCGGGGAAACAACGGGAGAUCUCAAGGUACUGUGGGAGAGCAACACGGACGUCAGAAAACAUGGAGGGAAAAACGCAGAGAGGGAGCAUAAGGCUUACGGUACACAAAGAGGUGUGCAGAAUGCCGAUUGUCUGCAGGCUUGUCGCUGCGUGGGCGUGUUGCGCUCAGCGUGAGCGGGGGCGUGUCCGGGAGAGCAGCCAGAGGAGGAACUGUGACACUCAGUUGCAGGAGGGCAGCGGGUUCGAGUCCACGCCGUGACAAUAAUCCUCUAAUUCUGUGACCAAAUACAAACACAUGCUAGUUAACAAUCAUAUAAGAAAAUGCUACAUGGUAUA
This is a long non-coding RNA of Entelurus aequoreus (snake pipefish), 548 nucleotides long. RefSeq lists it as uncharacterized. The transcript has 3 exons. The record is from RefSeq and is a predicted model, not a curated record. Lineage: Eukaryota; Metazoa; Chordata; Actinopteri; Syngnathiformes; Syngnathidae.